Long non-coding RNA from Salvia miltiorrhiza (redroot sage), 1694 nucleotides. RefSeq lists it as uncharacterized. Lineage: Eukaryota; Viridiplantae; Streptophyta; Magnoliopsida; Lamiales; Lamiaceae. The transcript has 4 exons. The record is from RefSeq and is a predicted model, not a curated record.
CUCCCCACAAAAAGGAAAGGAAAACCCCAUCCCAUCGUGUGUUCUUCGUCCUUUUCAUAUAUACCCCAUCAUCAUCCUCUCCUGCAAUCUAUAUAUGUAUCUAUGUGUGUGUGUGUGUUUUUACCUAUUUAUAUAUGCUUUCCGCGAUGCAUAAAUCUGAAUUCUUCAGCAAUAUAUGAAUAGAUCGCUUUGUUUUUGAUAUGCAAAACAUGUUUUUUUUUUUCCUUCCUCUUUCUCUCUCUCACACACUCACACACACACACACACACACUAAACGACCAAACCCUAGGAUGUUUUAUUGGGGAUGUGAAGAUGCAGUUUCCAAAAAUGGGUUUGGUCUUUUUGGUGGUGCCGAUCUAACUAUAUUAAUUUGUGAUAUGGAUUGUUGGUAGAAAAGACUAGAAAAUUUUAAGGCCUAAGAAGAGGUAGAGAGAGAAACAAGCUGACAGAAGAGAGUGAGCACAAGCAGGCAAUUGUAUAAAGAGUGUAUACCUUUGUAUACGUGUGCUCAUUUCUCUUCCUGUCAGUUUAAUUUCCUCUCUCUCUCUCUCUCAAUAUUUAUAUAUAUAUAUAUAUAUAACCACCUGUAUCUCGAGUCUCUAUACCGACCAGAAGCACUAGAUUGUGGAAGAAAAAAGCCUUGGGAUAAGGUAAAGUUAUGAGGCUGCAAUUCCCAAAAGAUGACUAUAUACAUAUCAAGUGGAGUGGAGAUCAACAUAAAAUGAAAUACACAUGAUAGAUAUAUCUCUCCAUAUGUAUAUAUCUUUAACCUUAUCCAAUACUGUGGACAUGUGUCUUUCCCAUCACCACACUGUUUUAGUUCGAGUUGCUUAGAUUUUGGGAGAAUGUGUGGCGGUGAUCAUCAGACAAUUUCCUCUGUUCCUGAUGUCAUUUUCUUUUAUUAUUACUAGUAUUCUAUAUGAUGCAGCAGCCCACAAUUAAGUGAGAAUGCCAUCGGAGAGGAAGAAGAAGGUAAAGCUUCUUCAAUGUUUUUUUGGCUUCGUUUCUUGAUGAAGAAAUCAAAGCCUUUCUCCAAUUAUUCCAGUUUAUAUUUUAUGUGCAUUAUAUUAAUUGCAACUCACAUUAAUCUAUUCCUUGUGGUUGCCUUUUGCAUUCCGUUGAACACAAUGAGCUGUGGAUGAGACUCAGCAGCAACGGCAAGAUUUUGGAUUUCUUCAGCGACACCAUGGAAUCAUGUUUGUGAUUGUGGAAGACAAUUUGCAAAGUGGGCUACAUUGCUUUCUGAGUGAAAUUCCAAAGGCUCGAGUAGAAUUUUAUGCUUUAUGUCCAGUUAUGAAAAUACGAAAGUUUUCAAUGCAUGAACAUCAAAUUCUGGGCCACACUCAUUUUGAGCUUAAAAGUUGUUCUAUGCUAUUGCAUGCACAUUGAUGUUUAAUUGAUCCCACUGCCUAAGCUUGAUUUAAGGAGAUCUUUCUGACAUUCGACUUGUACAAUCUGGGAACAGCGCUUGUUCAAGACUUUGGAAGUUUCUGAAGUCAACAGCAGCAUUCAGCAGUUUCUUCUUGCACUGAUAUGAAAGGGAAAUUUGAAACAAGAGUAAGUAGCCAACUUUCUACUUGACAUCUUAUUUGUAAAUUUGAACACACUACUCUUUUAUGUUCCUCAUAAAUAAGUGUAUCAUACAUUACAAAAAAGAUUGGUUGAAUAUAGAAUGAGAUUAUUACAGCUUGAAA